ACUCCUACGGGAGGCAGCAGUGGGGAAUAUUGGACAAUGGGCACAAGCCUGAUCCAGCCAUGCCGCGUGAGUGAUGAAGGCCCUAGGGUUGUAAAGCUCUUUCACCGGUGAAGAUAAUGACGGUAACCGGAGAAGAAGCCCCGGCUAACUUCGUGCCAGCAGCCGCGGUAAUACGAAGGGGGCUAGCGUUGUUCGGAUUUACUGGGCGUAAAGCGCACGUAGGCGGACUAUUAAGUCAGGGGUGAAAUCCCGGGGCUCAACCCCGGAACUGCCUUUGAUACUGGUAGUCUUGAGUUCGAGAGAGGUGAGUGGAAUUCCGAGUGUAGAGGUGAAAUUCGUAGAUAUUCGGAGGAACACCAGUGGCGAAGGCGGCUCACUGGCUCGAUACUGACGCUGAGGUGCGAAAGCGUGGGGAGCAAACAGGAUUAGAAACCCCAGUAGUCCCAUGA
Molecule: ribosomal RNA, 449 nt
Filed under: uncultured organism
Description: partial 16S ribosomal RNA
Rfam family: Bacterial small subunit ribosomal RNA
Source: RNAcentral